CCCUUAGAUGUUCUGGGCCGCACGCGCGCUACACUGACGAAGUCAGCGAGCAUGUCCUACGCCGACAGGUGCGGGGAAUCUUGUCAAACUUCGUCGUGAUGGGGAUUGAUUAUUGAAAUUCUUGAUCAUCAACGAGGACUUCCUAGUAAGCGCAAGUCAGCAGCUUGCGUUGAUUACGUCCCUGCCCUUUGUACACACCGCCCGUCGCUACUACCGAUUGAAUGGUUUAGUGAGAUCUUCGGAUUGGCGCCACUGCGGCUCAGCAAUGGGCUCGGUGGAUGCCGAAAAGUUGAUCAAACUUGAUCAUUUAGAGGAAGUAAAAGUCGUAACA
Molecule: ribosomal RNA, 331 nt
Filed under: uncultured eukaryote
Lineage: Eukaryota
Description: partial 18S ribosomal RNA
Rfam family: Eukaryotic small subunit ribosomal RNA
Source: RNAcentral